CCCUGCCAUUUGUACACACCGCCCGUCGCUCCUACCGAUGAAUGGUCCGGUGAGGACUCAGGACGACCUCAGGAUCUGGCCUUGUGCCACCCUGAUUGUGCCGGAAUCUGUUCAAACCUUAUCAUUUAAAGGAAGGAGAAGUCGUAACAA
This 150-nucleotide ribosomal RNA is filed under the name uncultured eukaryote. Its description in RNAcentral is "partial small subunit ribosomal RNA". It matches the Rfam family "Eukaryotic small subunit ribosomal RNA", at positions 1651 to 1797 of the family's 1831-position model. The record is from RNAcentral.